This 468-nucleotide ribosomal RNA is filed under the name uncultured bacterium. RNAcentral describes it as "partial 16S ribosomal RNA". It matches the Rfam family "Bacterial small subunit ribosomal RNA", at positions 28 to 507 of the family's 1533-position model. The record is from RNAcentral.
GACGAACGCUGGCGGCGUGCUUAACACAUGCAAGUCGAACGGAAAGGCCCCGCUUUUGUGUGGUUCUCGAUUGGCGAACGGGUGUGUAACACGUGUGUAUCCUGCCCUUGACUUUGUGAUAACUUCACGAAACUGCGGCUCUUACCGCAUAGGAGCUCCUGCUGCGUGGUGUGGGUUGGAGAGAUUCGGCGGUUGGGGAUGGACUCGCGGCUUAUCCGCUUGUUGGUGGGGUAGUUGCUUACCAAGGCUUUGACGGGUAGCCGGCCUGAGAGGGUGAACGGCGACAUUGGGACUGAGAUACGGCCCAGACUCCUACGGGAGGCAGCAGUGGGGAAUAUUGCACAACGGGCGGACGCCUGAUGCAGCAACGCCGCGUGCGGGAUGACGGCCUUCGGGUUGUAAACCGCUUUCGACUGUGACGAAGCGUGAGUGACGGUAAUGGGUAAAGAAGCACCGGCUAACUACGUG